Molecule: ribosomal RNA, 1318 nt
Filed under: Leuconostoc citreum
Lineage: Bacteria; Bacillati; Bacillota; Bacilli; Lactobacillales; Lactobacillaceae
Description: bacterial SSU rRNA
Rfam family: Bacterial small subunit ribosomal RNA
Source: RNAcentral
GGAUAACCUGCCUCAAGGCUGGGGAUAACAUUUGGAAACAGAUGCUAAUACCGAAUAAAACUUAGUAUCGCAUGAUAUCAAGUUAAAAGGCGCUACGGCGUCACCUAGAGAUGGAUCCGCGGUGCAUUAGUUAGUUGGUGGGGUAAAGGCUUACCAAGACGAUGAUGCAUAGCCGAGUUGAGAGACUGAUCGGCCACAUUGGGACUGAGACACGGCCCAAACUCCUACGGGAGGCUGCAGUAGGGAAUCUUCCACAAUGGGCGCAAGCCUGAUGGAGCAACGCCGCGUGUGUGAUGAAGGCUUUCGGGUCGUAAAGCACUGUUGUAUGGGAAGAAAUGCUAAAAUAGGGAAUGAUUUUAGUUUGACGGUACCAUACCAGAAAGGGACGGCUAAAUACGUGCCAGCAGCCGCGGUAAUACGUAUGUCCCGAGCGUUAUCCGGAUUUAUUGGGCGUAAAGCGAGCGCAGACGGUUGAUUAAGUCUGAUGUGAAAGCCCGGAGCUCAACUCCGGAAUGGCAUUGGAAACUGGUUAACUUGAGUGUUGUAGAGGUAAGUGGAACUCCAUGUGUAGCGGUGGAAUGCGUAGAUAUAUGGAAGAACACCAGUGGCGAAGGCGGCUUACUGGACAACAACUGACGUUGAGGCUCGAAAGUGUGGGUAGCAAACAGGAUUAGAUACCCUGGUAGUCCACACCGUAAACGAUGAAUACUAGGUGUUAGGAGGUUUCCGCCUCUUAGUGCCGAAGCUAACGCAUUAAGUAUUCCGCCUGGGGAGUACGACCGCAAGGUUGAAACUCAAAGGAAUUGACGGGGACCCGCACAAGCGGUGGAGCAUGUGGUUUAAUUCGAAGCAACGCGAAGAACCUUACCAGGUCUUGACAUCCUUUGAAGCUUUUAGAGAUAGAAGUGUUCUCUUCGGAGACAAAGUGACAGGUGGUGCAUGGUCGUCGUCAGCUCGUGUCGUGAGAUGUUGGGUUAAGUCCCGCAACGAGCGCAACCCUUAUUGUUAGUUGCCAGCAUUCAGUUGGGCACUCUAGCGAGACUGCCGGUGACAAACCGGAGGAAGGCGGGGACGACGUCAGAUCAUCAUGCCCCUUAUGACCUGGGCUACACACGUGCUACAAUGGCGUAUACAACGAGUUGCCAACCUGCGAAGGUGAGCUAAUCUCUUAAAGUACGUCUCAGUUCGGACUGCAGUCUGCAACUCGACUGCACGAAGUCGGAAUCGCUAGUAAUCGCGGAUCAGCACGCCGCGGUGAAUACGUUCCCGGGUCUUGUACACACCGCCCGUCACACCAUGGGAGUUUGUAAUGCCCAAA